This 217-nucleotide unclassified non-coding RNA is filed under the name Hevea brasiliensis (rubber tree). The record is from RNAcentral. Lineage: Eukaryota; Viridiplantae; Streptophyta; Magnoliopsida; Malpighiales; Euphorbiaceae.
GAAGUAGUGACUGGAUUAGAAGAAGCUUGUGCAUCUGCAGCGGCAAUGGGCCCAACUGGCACAAGCUGUAUCGGUGAAGAUCCAACCCUUGACCAGUUCAUGGAGGCUUACUGUGAGAUGCUGACCACGAGCAAGAGCUCUUGAAGCCCUUCAAGGAAGCCAUGCUUUUCCUUCAGAGGGUGGAGUGCCAAUUCAAAGCCCUCACUGUUUCCUCUCC